UUGUUAUUAUUUAUUAUCCUGAAGUACCUCAUUUAUUGUAAGCCUCAUUGCUCUUGAUAUAUGUAUGUUUAACUUUUGAUCUUAUGUUGAAUAAUUUUUCAUGCUUCCUUGACUACAGAUUUGUUUUUUACGGUUUUGAACAUUGGUUUACGUCCUUGAUUAUAGAUUUUGAUGGUUCAGUGGCUACUGUUUAGUAUUUGCAGCAAUUUAUGCUUUGUGUGAUUUGACUUUUUGGCUACUAUAUGGACCUAAUGAGUAAUGAACUUCACAUCUUAUUUUAAGUUGAUCGUGGUACCCAUUGUGAAACCUCACAUCAUGUUACAAGUGUUCAUGAACUAGUAUAGGGGAUUGAAUGGAUCCUAGGGAUUGUUACUCAUCUCUUGGCACUAAUUGCAUCAUUAUUUGUUCUGCUUUCUUGACAUUCUGAAUUUUUUUUGCACUGCUGCUGUUUGUAAUCCUUUUGCUAUUUUCAUAGUUAUGGUUGAUCUGAUGAAGUUCCCCGGGAGUUUCACCCGAUGAGGGUUGUGGGGUAGAAUAUUGACUCAACCUUCAUUACCUUGGUGCUUAAGAAAACAUAGAUUGUUAAGAG
Molecule: long non-coding RNA, 589 nt
Filed under: Panax ginseng (ginseng)
Lineage: Eukaryota; Viridiplantae; Streptophyta; Magnoliopsida; Apiales; Araliaceae
Description: long non-coding RNA (PGIN_LNC016460)
Source: RNAcentral